UACGUAGGUGGCAAGCGUUGUCCGGAUUUACUGGGCGUAAAGCGUCUGUAGGUGGCUUUUUAAGUCCGCCGUCAAAUCCCAGGGCUCAACUCUGGACAGGCGGUGGAAACUACCAAGCUGGAGUACGGUAGGGGCAGAGGGAAUUUCCGGUGGAGCGGUGAAAUGCGUAGAGAUCGGGAAGAACACCAACGGCGAAAGCACUCUGCUGGGCCGACACUGACACUGAGAGACGAAAGCUAGGGGAGCGAAUGGG
This 253-nucleotide ribosomal RNA is filed under the name uncultured bacterium. Its description in RNAcentral is "partial 16S ribosomal RNA". It matches the Rfam family "Bacterial small subunit ribosomal RNA", at positions 524 to 776 of the family's 1533-position model. The record is from RNAcentral.